UUUGCUGGCGACCGGCGCACGGGUGAGUAACACGUAUCCAACCUGCCGAUAACUCGGGGAUAGCCUUUCGAAAGAAAGAUUAAUACCCGAUGGCAUAAUUAGACCGCAUGGUUUGAUUAUUAAAGAAUUUCGGUUAUCGAUGGGGAUGCGUUCCAUUAGGCAGUUGGUGAGGUAACGGCUCACCAAACCUUCGAUGGAUAGGGGUUCUGAGAGGAAGGUCCCCCACAUUGGAACUGAGACACGGUCCAA
Molecule: ribosomal RNA, 249 nt
Filed under: uncultured bacterium
Lineage: Bacteria
Description: partial 16S ribosomal RNA
Rfam family: Bacterial small subunit ribosomal RNA
Source: RNAcentral